CCUACGUGAGGCAGCAGUGAGGAAUAUUGGUCAAUGUGCGCGAGCCUGAACCAGCCAAGUAGCGUGAAGGAUGACUGCCCUACGGGUUGUAAACUUCUUUUAUAAAGGAAUAAAGUGAGGCACGUGUGCCUUUUUGUAUGUACUUUAUGAAUAAGGAUCGGCUAACUCCGUGCCAGCAGCCGCGGUAAUACGGAGGCUCCGAGCGUUAUCCGGAUUUAUUGGGUUUAAAGGGAGCGUAGAUGGGUUGUUAAGUCAGUUGUGAAAGUUUGCGGCUCAACCGUAAAAUUGCAAUUGAUACUGGCAGUCUUGAGUACAGUUGAGGUAGGCGGAAUUCGUGGUGUAGCGGUGAAAUGCUUAGAUAUCACGAAGAACUCCGAUUGCGAAGGCAGCUUACUAAACUGCCACUGACAUUGAUGCUCGAAAGUGUGGGUAUCAAACAGGAUUAGAUACCCUAGUAGUC
This 460-nucleotide ribosomal RNA is filed under the name uncultured bacterium. RNAcentral's name for it is "partial 16S ribosomal RNA". It matches the Rfam family "Bacterial small subunit ribosomal RNA", at positions 338 to 795 of the family's 1533-position model. The record is from RNAcentral.